RNAcentral lists this transfer RNA (87 nucleotides) under Phytelephas macrocarpa. RNAcentral's name for it is "tRNA-Tyr". Lineage: Eukaryota; Viridiplantae; Streptophyta; Magnoliopsida; Arecales; Arecaceae. The record is from RNAcentral.
UGGGCCGAGCUGGAUUUGAACCCAGCCGUAGACAUAUCGUCAACGAAUUUACAGUCCGUCCCCAUUAACCGCUCGGGCAUCGACCCA